Biomphalaria pfeifferi is the source of this 286-nucleotide non-coding RNA. The record is from the annotation of a GenBank genome assembly. NCBI's taxonomy places the organism in Eukaryota, Metazoa, Mollusca, Gastropoda, Planorbidae.
GUUGAAGGAUUUCUUACAUGUUUAUUUGUGACAUUGUUACCCAAUUAGCUGGUAGAAUAGUUUUCAGGUUACAUUGACAUGACAGCCAUCUCCUCCUCAAACAGUUGGCAGCAUCUUCACAACAUCAGCACAUAGAAUUUCAAUCACAAAACUUAACAGUGUAAUACUAAACCUUAGCCAAAGAACAUUUUCAUUAUAGAGUCUACAAUAACAAUACAAAUAUAUUCACACUAGUUAAAACAAACAAUUUACUAAAUAGCAAAACAAAAGAGAGAGACCUAUGUAC